GCGUAACACCAAGGCAAUCUUUCAGAGCAUCCCCAUUCUCCAUUACACCUCUUUUAUGCAAGACUGCAACUCUUCUUUAUAAAUCCAUCUAUUUUCUCUCACAAUUUGUAGUGUAAAAAUGGAAAAUUUUGAGCUAAUUGAGGGUGGAAAUUCCCUUAAUCGUCCCAAAGAGGGUCUUUCUAGCUUCCAUGCUGGCAGAGAUGAUUACAAGAAAGUGGGGGCUGAUGAGAAGAAAGCAGCAGUUCAUGAGGAAAUGACGAGAUUGAGCAGACUCCCUCAGAAGAGCGUAUAUGUAUCUCAUCGAACGCGGGUUUUGAAUAAAAUCCUCCAACUUUUGUCUAUUCAGAGAACCACAUCACAGGACGAGGAGUUGGAGUUGCUGUUUGCUGGGCUCUCUCUUGGGUGAUCAGAAGAAGUAAUUGUGGUUUUCCUCAGUUUUUUUUUUUUUUCCAGUCAUUUAAUAGAAUAUCGAACCUCAAACGCAAGUUGAGAAGAGUGCCUUACUGCAUUGAAAGAUGAGUAAUAUAUGGUUGAAUUGGUUCGCCAACAUCAAAUUCUCACCCAUCACCGAGCUUGAGCGUCACUAUAUGAAAGUGAUGUUGUUAACCGUGAUGGUAGUUUCUGCUGGAUGUGCUCAAACUGGUAUCUGAAAGUUUGCACUGUUUUUGUAUUGCAGUUAUGUUUUGAAUGAUGUUGCUAUACUUGUGGUGUUGUUGCCCAACCCAACUCACUAUGGAUUCCAUUUUAUUUUCUGGAAAGUAAUUGUUUUUUGGUGUAUAUAUAUGGAAAUGGUAUAACAAUGGUUAAUGUGAAUUAAACCAUUACUACAUUUGUUUUUAACCCUA
Ipomoea nil (Japanese morning glory) is the source of this 845-nucleotide RNA transcript. RefSeq lists it as uncharacterized. The record is from RefSeq and is a predicted model, not a curated record. Lineage: Eukaryota; Viridiplantae; Streptophyta; Magnoliopsida; Solanales; Convolvulaceae. The transcript has 4 exons.